Molecule: ribosomal RNA, 301 nt
Filed under: uncultured bacterium
Lineage: Bacteria
Description: partial 16S ribosomal RNA
Rfam family: Bacterial small subunit ribosomal RNA
Source: RNAcentral
CAGUAGCCGCGGGAAUACGGAGGGUGCAAGCGUUAAUCGGAAUUACUGGGCGUAAAGCGCACGCAGGCGGUCUGACAAGUCAGAUGUGAAAUCCCCGGGCUUAACCUGGGAACUGCAUUUGAAACUGUCAGGCUGGAGUCUUGUAGAGGGGGGUGGAAUUCCAGGUGUAGCGGUGAAAUGCGUAGAGAUCUGGAGGAAUACCGGUGGCGAAGGCGGCCCCCUGGACGAAGACUGACGCUCAGGUGCGAAAGCGUGGGGAGCAAACAGGAUUAGAUACCCGCGUAGUCCCUGUCUCUUAUAC